Molecule: ribosomal RNA, 628 nt
Filed under: Vibrio sp.
Lineage: Bacteria; Pseudomonadati; Pseudomonadota; Gammaproteobacteria; Vibrionales; Vibrionaceae
Description: bacterial SSU rRNA
Rfam family: Bacterial small subunit ribosomal RNA
Source: RNAcentral
GCAGCCAUGCCGCGUGUGUGAAGAAGGCCUUCGGGUUGUAAAGCACUUUCAGUCGUGAGGAAGGUAGUGUAGUUAAUAGCUGCAUUAUUUGACGUUAGCGACAGAAGAAGCACCGGCUAACUCCGUGCCAGCAGCCGCGGUAAUACGGAGGGUGCGAGCGUUAAUCGGAAUUACUGGGCGUAAAGCGCAUGCAGGUGGUUUGUUAAGUCAGAUGUGAAAGCCCGGGGCUCAACCUCGGAAUUGCAUUUGAAACUGGCAGACUAGAGUACUGUAGAGGGGGGUAGAAUUUCAGGUGUAGCGGUGAAAUGCGUAGAGAUCUGAAGGAAUACCGGUGGCGAAGGCGGCCCCCUGGACAGAUACUGACACUCAGAUGCGAAAGCGUGGGGAGCAAACAGGAUUAGAUACCCUGGUAGUCCACGCCGUAAACGAUGUCUACUUGGAGGUUGUGGCCUUGAGCCGUGGCUUUCGGAGCUAACGCGUUAAGUAGACCGCCUGGGGAGUACGGUCGCAAGAUUAAAACUCAAAUGAAUUGACGGGGGCCCGCACAAGCGGUGGAGCAUGUGGUUUAAUUCGAUGCAACGCGAAGAACCUUACCUACUCUUGACAUCCAGAGAACUUCCAGAGAUGG